This 429-nucleotide ribosomal RNA is filed under the name Bacteroidota bacterium. RNAcentral describes it as "Bacteroidetes bacterium partial 16S ribosomal RNA". It matches the Rfam family "Bacterial small subunit ribosomal RNA", at positions 355 to 776 of the family's 1533-position model. The record is from RNAcentral. Lineage: Bacteria; Pseudomonadati; Bacteroidota.
UAGGGAAUCUUCCGCAAUGGACGCAAGUCUGACGGAGCAACGCCGCGUGAGUGAAGAAGGAUUUCGGUUCGUAAAACUCUGUUGUUAGAGAAGAACAGCGCAUAGAGUAACUGUUAUGCGUGUGACGGUAUCUAACCAGAAAGCCACGGCUAACUACGUGCCAGCAGCCGCGGUAAUACGUAGGUGGCAAGCGUUGUCCGGAUUUAUUGGGCGUAAAGCGAGCGCAGGCGGUCAAUUAAGUCUGAUGUGAAAGCCCCCGGCUCAACCGGGGAGGGUCAUUGGAAACUGGUUGACUUGAGUGCAGAAGAGGGGGGUGGAAUUCCAUGUGUAGCGGUGAAAUGCGUAGAUAUAUGGAGGAACCCCAGUGGCGAAGGCGACUCUCUGGUCUGUAACUGACGCUGAGGCUCGAAAGCGUGGGUAGCAAACAGG